GGCCGGCCGCUCCCCGGUCCCAGGACCCGGAAACGACACGGGCCCGGUACGCGAACCGCGUACCGGGCCCGGUUCCGUUUCCGGGGGCCGGUCA
Molecule: transfer RNA, 94 nt
Filed under: Kitasatospora xanthocidica
Lineage: Bacteria; Bacillati; Actinomycetota; Actinomycetes; Kitasatosporales; Streptomycetaceae
Description: tRNA-Arg
Source: RNAcentral